GUCAGCCUGGGUCAGCAGCAGCCGCGGUAAUACGUAGGGUGCAAGCGUUAAUCGGAAUUACUGGGCGUAAAGCGUGCGCAGGCGGUUAUGCAAGACAGAGGUGAAAUCCCCGGGCUCAACCUGGGAACUGCCUUUGUGACUGCAUAGCUAGAGUACGGUAGAGGGGGAUGGAAUUCCGCGUGUAGCAGUGAAAUGCGUAGAUAUGCGGAGGAACACCGAUGGCGAAGGCAAUCCCCUGGACCUGUACUGACGCUCAUGCACGAAAGCGUGGGGAGCAAACA
This 281-nucleotide ribosomal RNA is filed under the name uncultured bacterium. Its description in RNAcentral is "partial 16S ribosomal RNA". It matches the Rfam family "Bacterial small subunit ribosomal RNA", at positions 495 to 774 of the family's 1533-position model. The record is from RNAcentral.